GCCAGCGGACAGCCAGGGGUGGGGGAUCGAUCCCAAACGGCUUCACACACACACACACACACACACACACACAAAACAACAACAAAAAACGAAAACCCAACCCAAAUGUUUGACUUUUGUAAUGAGGAAUGGUCUUCUUGCCCAGAGCAGCGCCAACGGGGCGGUCCGGGGCUCUGUGCCCCUUCCCUAAUACAAAGCAAGGAAACAGCUCCUGGGGGGCGGCAAAUGCUUCCGAAAAUUACCGCUGUAAUUUGAACGUGGCUCAUCUGCAGGCACAGAGCUCCCCUCUGCCCCCAGUCCAGGUUUAUGACAUCCACCAGACGGGGGUGAUUUUAACUUACUCAUCCAACAUCGUGUUAUGGCCAAGCGUGGGCGCAAAGCGCACCGCUGUGUGCUGGGAACGAUGGUUUUCCCUUAGGAUGCACCGAUGCAAUGAAGACAAAAAGCCCCUCUGGAAGCAGAGCGCGCCCCUCUGUUUUGCUAAAGGAUGUUCCCAAAUGGCUGCGGACUCCGAUAUCAGCUGGGAACCGCUCCCAGGGAACGCUGCGAAACCAACACUGCGAACCCCGGGGUGAGAACGGCACUGCUGCUCGUGUGCAAGGAGGAUGCUCAGCUCGUAAGCUGAAGCAAGCAGGAGGGACUCCGGAAAUCUUUAGUUCUUGGCACGGGCUCUGCUAUUGAAAUGAAAUGGAGCUAUUUAACGGCGGGACGGACGGACGAGGAGGUGGAUUUCAGCUUAAAGCCUCCGCAUCGCCCGCAGCCCCGCAAGCAGGAGCUGCACGGAGGGUCCCCUCUUCCUGCAUCCAGACCACUCGAUGGCAGCACUGCCUAAAAAUGCGGCAGAGGGACGGCUGAGCAGCCUGCCGGCUUGGGGAGGUUUGCUAGCGACGGUGCUUCCAACCUUUCCCUCCGCUGCUUUGGGGCAUUGCUGUGAAUAUGACCAAACCCCAAAGGAGAGGAGGCCCUGGCAAUGGGGGACAGCUUCAGCAGCCAUCUCAGCGCACCACAGCAAACCCUCUCCCAUUCCAGCAAGCCCCUCCAUGCCCCUCCUGAUAACAUCACUCCACUGCAGGGCAGGGAGACAUCGCACCCGUUUCUCCACCUCCGUUUUCUCACUGGGAAAAAGGAGGUGAUGCCUUAUGCACAUUCCUGUUGGAAAGAACCACCUAUUUUUUCCUGUUCUGCUGCCGUGUGAGGAAUUGAAGUGCUACCUGAAGCAGGCUGUGGAUAGGCAUGUGUGCCGUGGCAUGUCCAGGCGGGGCAACUGGGAGCAAGGCCCUUCUGAUAGGAAAGGCUCAGGCCCUUCUGAAGACCUCCAGGCAUCGUUUGUGUCCAGGUGUCCACACCAGCGUGCUAUGACCAAAGGAGAGACAACGCACCAACAAAGCCGGCCCACUCUGUCCCUGUGUAACAACCAAUGCAAGCAGGACGAUGAGCCAAAAGGACUGUGGUGUAAGCUCUUUAACUGUGCUGAAUUGCUCUUCAUCUCCUAAGAACUGAUGUGAGAAACUCUACUACCAUAGCUGGGUGAGAAGCUGCACCACUGCUGCCUUCCCCACCAAGGGAUGGGGCUUUUUUAAACACUUCCCAGGGCUGUGAACCACACAGUGGACAGCAAUGCGUUUUUCUUUAC
RNAcentral lists this long non-coding RNA (1633 nucleotides) under Gallus gallus (chicken). RNAcentral describes it as "lncRNA (ENSGALG00010020904.1)". Lineage: Eukaryota; Metazoa; Chordata; Aves; Galliformes; Phasianidae. The record is from RNAcentral.